RNAcentral lists this ribosomal RNA (468 nucleotides) under uncultured bacterium. Its description in RNAcentral is "partial 16S ribosomal RNA". It matches the Rfam family "Bacterial small subunit ribosomal RNA", at positions 28 to 507 of the family's 1533-position model. The record is from RNAcentral.
GACGAACGCUGGCGGCGUGCUUAACACAUGCAAGUCGAACGGAAAGGCCCUGCUUUUGUGGGGUGCUCGAGUGGCGAACGGGUGAGUAACACGUGAGUAACCUGCCCUUGACUUUGGGAUAACUUCAGGAAACUGGGGCUAAUACCGGAUAGGAUCUCCUGCUGCAUGGUGGGGGUUGGAAAGUUUCGGCGGUUGGGGAUGGACUGGCGGCUUGUCAGCUUGUUGGUGGGGUAGUGGCUUACCAAGGCUUUGACGGGUAGCCGGCCUGAGAGGGUGACCGGCCACAUCGGGACUGAGAUACGGCCCAGCCUCCUACGGGAGGCAGCAGUGGGGAAUAUUGUACAAUGGGCGGAAGCCUGAUGCAGCAACGCCGCGUGCGGGAUGACGGCAUUCGGGUUGUAAACCGAUUUCGCCUGUGCAGAAGCGUGAGUGACGGUAAUGGGUAAAGAAGCACCGGCUAACUACGUG